RNAcentral lists this ribosomal RNA (253 nucleotides) under uncultured bacterium. Its description in RNAcentral is "partial 16S ribosomal RNA". It matches the Rfam family "Bacterial small subunit ribosomal RNA", at positions 524 to 776 of the family's 1533-position model. The record is from RNAcentral.
UACGAAGGGGGCUAGCGUUGUUCGGAUUUACUGGGCGUAAAGCGCACGUAGGCGGAUCGUUAAGUCGGGGGUGAAAUCCUGGAGCUCAACUCCAGAACUGCCUUCGAUACUGGCGAUCUUGAGUCCGGUAGAGGUGAGUGGAACUCCUAGUGUAGAGGUGGAAUUCGUAGAUAUUAGGAAGAACACCAGUGGCGAAGGCGGCUCACUGGUCCAGUACUGACGCUGAGGUGCGAAAGCGUGGGGAGCAAACAGG